AAACUUACCUGGCUGGGGGCGUCUCGCGAUCAUUAAGGCGGGACCCCCAUGGUGAGGCCCGCGCAUUGCACUUUCGCCCGGGCUGACCCGUGUGGCAGUCUCGAACUGAGAUUCGCCAACAGCUAAAUUUUUGUGUGUGGGGCUGCG
Molecule: small nuclear RNA, 147 nt
Filed under: Ancylostoma ceylanicum
Lineage: Eukaryota; Metazoa; Nematoda; Chromadorea; Rhabditida; Ancylostomatidae
Description: U1 spliceosomal RNA
Rfam family: U1 spliceosomal RNA
About the family: U1 is a small nuclear RNA (snRNA) component of the spliceosome (involved in pre-mRNA splicing). Its 5' end forms complementary base pairs with the 5' splice junction, thus defining the 5' donor site of an intron. There are significant differences in sequence and secondary structure between metazoan and yeast U1 snRNAs, the latter being much longer (568 nucleotides as compared to 164 nucleotides in human).
Source: Rfam by way of RNAcentral